UUUACGUUAUAAAUAAAUUGGUCGAUUUAUAGACUUUUAAUUUGUUUUUAUACUACAUGUAAAUGAGGAGAAAUAUGACUGCAAUUAUAAAGUUUGUUUAUGUGAUGACCCUUUUUCUUUUGCUAUUUCAUGUUGUAACCAGCGAUUUUAUACGUUAUAAAUGCAAGAGUGAUUUUCACUGUCAAGAUAAAUUAUGUACCCCUCCGCAAAUUGGAAAGUGUCUUAAUAAAUUAUGUUACUGCAGAAUAGGGAAAAAAGAACCAUUCGUGACAUACAAUUAAUGCACAUACAACUUUUGUAUUAUAUAUUGUCCAAACACAAAUAAAAUGAUGUAAAACAUAUUACAUUGGCAUCUAUUUAUCUAUAUCUCUAUGUAAUCUCUAUAAGCAAAGUUUAGAUUGCUUCUAAACCUCCAUUGUGCUAUGUGGCACCUCUUAAAAUGUUUCUUACA
This is a long non-coding RNA of Trifolium pratense (red clover), 451 nucleotides long. RefSeq lists it as uncharacterized. The transcript has 3 exons. Lineage: Eukaryota; Viridiplantae; Streptophyta; Magnoliopsida; Fabales; Fabaceae. The record is from RefSeq and is a predicted model, not a curated record.